Molecule: long non-coding RNA, 1008 nt
Filed under: Taeniopygia guttata (zebra finch)
Lineage: Eukaryota; Metazoa; Chordata; Aves; Passeriformes; Estrildidae
Description: lncRNA (ENSTGUG00000019250.1)
Source: RNAcentral
CCCUGCAACCAUUCAGGCAAUACAAUCUCUCUGGACCGCAAACAAUUGACCUCUCUUCGUCUCUUUAUCUCGACUCCUUGUGGCAACCAAGGUGCACCACCGCUCGGACCGUGCUAACCCAGCCGCUACCUGAGUUAUUUUGGCAUUGCUACUGAAAGGAAAGAAACAAGUGCAAACAAAAGGUUGGGGGGAGUACAAAAUGAUGAAUGUAGAAGCUUUCCCCAUGGAUUAGGGCUUGUUCCUGAAAAACAGUGCUUGAUGCUUAUAUUGAAUAGUACAAUGUUUAGAGCCGGGAGAAAGCAACUUUGGAAACGAAGCAUUGGCAGAGUGAAAAAGGUAAGGAAAACUGAAUUUUGAACUAUGUUUAGAUUAAUAAAUAUAGAAUUUGAAUAACAUUGUGUACUGAGGGGGGAGGGCACAGAAAAAAGCAUUUUAAAAUAGGCAUGAGUGGAUGAUGUUAGUUGCACAAUUUGUUUUGAAAGGCAAAUUUGCACUGGGAGGUGUUUAUGCAUUUGGCUAGUGCUGCUUGUAUCUUGCCCAGAUUGUUGCAAUGGUCUGGUAAUGCUAUAAUUUCACAAAUGCUAUAUUAGUACACUAAAGAGUUUGAUGCUAGAUGUGGCAACAAAAAAUGGGUUGACUUUGCCAUGAAGGAAAAUAGAAAUGUAACUCCACUCUCCCCAUACUUCUAAGAUGGGAAUAGAAUUUUGAAGGCAAUAUUUAGCAUUGAGAAACCACAAUAGACUAUAUAAGUCAUUAAGAUACUUAGACUCAUUUUAAAAGCUGGUUAUCUAAUCAAACUGUUCCUGAGUUAAUGCAAUGUGAUGACAUGUGCAGAGCUCUGAUUUUUGAGGUUUAAGAGUUAGAUAAGGGAACUGCCCUAAUUCUUUAGGGUUUGUAUUUUUUUGGAAAGAGGAAAUAAAAACAUUGAAACUUGAAAAUUAAAAACUCGGGGUGCUUGAAAAUAUUUGAAAUGGUGUGCAGUUUACUUUUGAUGGGAAAUUCAUGAGC